This 445-nucleotide ribosomal RNA is filed under the name uncultured bacterium. RNAcentral's name for it is "bacterial SSU rRNA". It matches the Rfam family "Bacterial small subunit ribosomal RNA", at positions 330 to 792 of the family's 1533-position model. The record is from RNAcentral.
CCCAGACUCCUACGGGAGGCAGCAGUGGGGAAUAUUGCACAAUGGGGGAAACCCUGAUGCAGCAACGCCGCGUGAGUGAAGAAGUCAUUCGUGAUGUAAAGCUCUAUCAGCAGGGAAGAAAAUGACGGUACCUGAGUAAGAAGCCCCGGCUAACUACGUGCCAGCAGCCGCGGUAAUACGUAGGUGGCAAGCGUUAUCCGGAUUUAUUGGGUGUAAAGGGCGUGUAGGCGGGAAUGCAAGUCAGAUGUGAAAACUAUGGGCUCAACCCAUAGCCUGCAUUUGAAACUGUAUUUCUUGAGUGCUGGAGAGGCAAGCGGAAUUCCGUGUGUAGCGGUGAAAUGCGUAGAUAUACGGAGGAGCACCAGUGGCGAAGGCGGCCUGCUGGACUGCAACUGACGUUGAGGCCCGAAAGCGUGGGGAGCAAACAGGAUUAGAUACCCCUGUA